Molecule: long non-coding RNA, 1130 nt
Filed under: Strigops habroptila (Kakapo)
Lineage: Eukaryota; Metazoa; Chordata; Aves; Psittaciformes; Psittacidae
Description: lncRNA (ENSSHBG00005001912.1)
Source: RNAcentral
UUUUUUAGGGUUUUGGUUUUGCUUCUGACACUGUUAGAAUCUAAGUAUUAUUGGCAUAAAAUACAACUAAAGUAACAAGUUAAAGUAUUUAUUCUGAUUUAGGUGGUACUCACCCCUCCCCACGAAAGCUUCACACCCACUGAAAGUAGAUCAGCCACAAAGCAUAAAAAUAUAUUUUUGUCUGUUCCACACAUGAUAACUUACAAAUUUAUAGCAUCAAGUUUCUUUCCAGGUGAACACCUAUACCAUAAAGUGGAAAAAUAAUACUGUAUGAAUCAUGUUUGCAUAAAGUUAGCUUCUUUCAUAAUUACUUUCACUUAAAUCCUAUGGUAGUCUCAGGUUAGCAAAUAAUAUGUUUGAUCUUUGUUUUUUUUUAAGAAAAUGUAUUUACCAAAUAAGAGUCAGAAAUGUCUGUUUCACAGAACAUCCCAAGGGAUGUUUUUAUUUUCUCUUUAUGUUAUUACUUUAUGAACACAUGGAAAAUAAUGUUAUACUGAAACAGAAUAGUAAUAGCGUUGCUGACCUAUGUCAGUAUAGAAGAGGGCAACACCAUGUGUUCUUCCUUCAGGCAAAAUACAUAAUUUAUCCACUUUGCAUAGAACAAGUAACUUAAAUUAUCUAGCUACUCACAAUAUUAAUAUAUGACAUUAAAUGUGUAAAAUUAUUCAUCAGCAAUAAUUUGAGUAAAUGUUCAGUUUGUAAUUAGGAAAAACUGUUAAAGUGUGCAUGAGGGGGGAGGGGGGAGUUAGUGUGUGGUAUUUUUUUAUGGUUUUAAGUCAAAGGAGAACACAAAUACAGCUCUCCACUACCUGAAACAGUGUGCCUGAGCUGAAACCAAAGAAGUCAAUGUACCCAUGACACAGAGGAUUAAACACAUCCUGGGAAAAUGACUUCUUGAUCAUAGUGUCUGCUCUGCCAGGAAAAGGAUUUAAAUUAGUGAGCAGAAACCAGAGUAAGGAUACAGGUAUCUGAAUGCCUCUACAUAAAAGAGAACUGACACACAGAAAAGAGGAAACGUUAUAUCAUAGACUGCUAAACAGUUGCAAUCCUUGAAACAAGCACUACGGCCACCUACGUGUUCCCUGCUCAAACACAGCUAUGUCGGCUUGUGAAGGUAACAUGAAGACUCC